Molecule: long non-coding RNA, 620 nt
Filed under: Setaria italica (foxtail millet)
Lineage: Eukaryota; Viridiplantae; Streptophyta; Magnoliopsida; Poales; Poaceae
Description: long non-coding RNA (SITA_LNC000550)
Source: RNAcentral
GCCCGGGCAAAAACAUGCUGGGGCCCCUAACAUUUUCCCAGCAUCUUGGAGCAGCUAAGGAUCUCACGCAUCAUUGCCAUUGCCGUAUGGGGACUCAUCGCGCUGGGGCUGCUGGCCUGGGGACCUGCUAUAGCUCCUCCUGGCAGGAGGUGGUGGUGGCGACCUGCUCAGGUCACGGGCUGGCGGUGGCGAUCUGCUGUUGUUCCGCGGAGGUGGUGGAGGUGGCGACUUGCUGUAGCUGCGCGCUCGAGCUGGUGGAGGUGACCUGCUGAGACUCCGUGCACGAGGUGGCGGUGGAGACCUGCUGUCACUCCGCCUCCUAGGAGAACGAUCCCGUGGGCUGUAGCUCCUGAAACAUGCAAGUUUCUUUUUCAGAUAUGACCACAAAAUUAACUCGUUGAAAAGGCAGGUAAUGUGGCAACAAGACAUCGUGCAAUACAACGUUACGACAUUGGCCAGCGUAACAGCUGCAAGAGUACCAAUGCAUGAUAAAGAACCAAACUAAGAAUGCAUUGUUGAACAUGAUACAGCAAGUCAGGCUCUGUAUUGAAGUUAACAGAGCAAAGAAGCAGCCUUUGAAGCUUUGGAUCAACAUCAUGGUAGCCUUAUGAAAGAAUGUG